This 1176-nucleotide long non-coding RNA is filed under the name Bos mutus (wild yak). RNAcentral's name for it is "lncRNA (ENSBMUG00000016162.1)". The record is from RNAcentral. Lineage: Eukaryota; Metazoa; Chordata; Mammalia; Artiodactyla; Bovidae.
GCUUUCUUUAUAUCUGAGUGUGAACACCAUAAACACCCAGCAUGUGUGUGUGUGGGUGGUAUGCAGCAGGUGCUCCAUAAGGGCAUACUGCUGAUAAUCUGAUUCCACCCUCCCAGCUCCCACAGGCCUGUCGACAGAGCAGGUUUAUAUUCUCAUCGGGGUCUCUGUGGCCUUUCUCCUUUGUCUCUCCCUCCUGGUCCUUCUCCUCCUCCACCGUCAGCUCCGGAGAAAACGAGGUAGGUCUCAGGGACAGGGGAGGGUGACUGGGCAGGCCGUGUGGGGGUGCUGGAAAGAAGCCUUCUCUUCUUAAUUCACACCUGACUCUCCUCAGGGCCUCCCAGAAGCAAAGACGAGAAGCAGAGACGCCAGGGGAGGUGAGGGCCCUGGGGAUGACCUCUCAUACUGCCUGUCCUCUGCCCCCAGGCAGCCCUCAGGGCUCACAUGUUCUUUCUCCUCAGGCUCAGCCCAGCUGUGGAUGUCCUAGAUGGGACCCCAGGUGUGGCCAGCGUUGACAGAUUUCCUGAUGUGGAUGGAGAGACCCCUGCUGCAGGAGGCUCCCAGGAGGUGACCUACGCCCAGCUGAACCACAAGCUCCUCACCCAGAGAGUGGCCAGAGCUGUGUCCCCGCCGUCCACAGAGCCCCUGGCCAAGUCCAGCACGUAUGCAACCAUUGCCAGACGUUGACCGCAUGCCCACCUGGCCUCUGCACUAAAGAUGCAGGAAGCCACACUUGCAAAAGCCCAAAGUGGACGUUGGGUUUCCCUGUGGAAUCAUUCCUUUCUGGAAAGACAUCUAGUCGAUCCUCCUGCAGGCAAGAGCUCAAGUCCUGAGAUCCCACAUUACCUUCUAGGAGAUUCAUUAACCAUGUGAUCCCUCCCACAAGCAACUAGCUCCUCAGAGAGGUGUAGCACUUGUUUCAAGAGACCCAGCUAUGGUGUUUAUUGCCUGUUUCCAGAGACCCAGCUUUAGUUCUUGGCUGUUUCUAGAGACCCAGAUUUGGCACUUGGCUGUUUCAAGAGAGCCAGCUAUGGUGCUUGGCUGCUUCCAGAGACCCAGCUAUGUUCCUACAGUUGCCCAGUGAAUUCCUGAUGUGUCCUGUGAAUUUUCCACUGCCCCUGGAGAACCAUUUUGUCUUCUGAGCUGACUCUGCAAACUUCCUAGAGUGCGGGUGGUGAU